This 22-nucleotide microRNA is filed under the name Magallana gigas (Pacific oyster). RNAcentral describes it as "Mgi-Mir-96-P1h_3p* (star (passenger))". The record is from RNAcentral. Lineage: Eukaryota; Metazoa; Mollusca; Bivalvia; Ostreida; Ostreidae.
GGUUGUUCCCUUGUGUCAAUAA